This 338-nucleotide unclassified non-coding RNA is filed under the name Hevea brasiliensis (rubber tree). The record is from RNAcentral. Lineage: Eukaryota; Viridiplantae; Streptophyta; Magnoliopsida; Malpighiales; Euphorbiaceae.
CGGUAAGCCAGGAUUUCGAAAUCUAUACCAAAGAGACUUGUUAGAAUCAUGAUAUGCAUAAGGUAUCAUCAAGAACCAUUGAAUCUACAAUGCUGUUUAUAAAACCAGAGUAUUGCCCGUCUUUGUAAUAUUGAUAACAUGUGCAUUCUAGUAUAACGAAAUACAGUAGCAACAAGAUUCAAUUAGCAACAAAUUUCUGAGGUUCAGAUUCAUGUUCAAAAGCACAAAAGAUUUUUUUUUUCUAAAGAAGAUUAUCUUAAAAGGAAAAUGGUAAGAUGAACAAGAAAAUGGGGCACAGGAAGGGGUGAAAAAGUUACCUUAUCAGUAAUCCAUAGCUU